Molecule: long non-coding RNA, 1344 nt
Organism: Apis dorsata (giant honeybee)
Lineage: Eukaryota; Metazoa; Arthropoda; Insecta; Hymenoptera; Apidae
Exons: 4
Source: RefSeq, a predicted model, not a curated record
CAUUCAUCUUGAAACAUAUUGUCAAGUGUUCGAUGAGUAUUUGGAGGGAAUGUAUGGUUAUGAUACAAUCAAGAAAAUGUUGACAAAUAUUGAUUUUUUUUUUUCUAUCAUGAUCGACUUUUUCCAAUAUAUCAUAUUCAAAAUUUGACCGAGUAUAAAUUUAUAUGUUAUAUGUAUGCAUAGAUUUCAUUAACGGAUAGAUACACUCGUAUCACAUUCGAACACAUCCGAAUUUCAAUAUUUCUGGUUACUCGAUUGCUACGCGUCGAAUCCCAAUUAAUUUUGCUUCAGAAAAUGGAAACACUAUUCGAAUUUUCCAGAUCAGUAUUUUUUUUAAACGAACCUUUGUUAAUUACAUACAAAAAUAAGUUUUCGUUUUAUUUCACACAAAAAUUAAAAUUAUAUACGAACUAAAUCGGCCAAUGGCAUUUGACUGAAGUUGUUUCAGGAAACAAAAGCGAUAUAUCGAUAUAUCGAUUAAGUUGUUCGUCUUGUUUAGACCAUAUUUCAUUUUAUCCUAUUGGGUGACAUUAAAAUUUUUACUUUUUAAUUGGAACACAUCAUCGAGUCAUAAAAAGUUUGCCAUGAAAUAACGAAUAUCAAAAGAACAAAAUUAUAUUUAAUAAUUAAUUUUUGACAAUGGAAAAAAUUAUUUGAUUGUUUAACUAUCACUAAUGUGGUUUCUCAAGAUCUUUGCACUUCUUUUUUCAAGGCACUACUUCUUACCGAGACAAUUGCUUGGAAGACAGCCGGUAGCAAGUGUCGCUUCUCUGGCCGCACAAAGGCUCGAAUAACUCCGAACAAAGAGUGAUAAAAAACAAUUCAGUUCAAUAUGAGUUUAGAAUUAUUAGAAUUGAUAUAUUAGGAAUAUAUCAUAAUAGGAUUAAACAGAGGGCGGCACAUAUUUGUGUCACGGUCGUUAAGUGAACCCGUUUAUGUCAAACGAUGUAAGUCUCGUACGUAUAUCGGUCGUAAACGCGUCCGCUUAUUAAACUUCUGUAUUAUGGUAUACAUACAAGUCGUAAUGAAUUUCAACGAUUGACAAAAAGACUGGAGAAUCUUUGAUAUCCGACUUAUGUGAAAAUUGAAGAUUUGUAUUCUAACAAUUUUCAUGGCUUAUAUUAAACAUAACCUUUAAAAAUGAUCGAAAUUAAUAGUUCCGAAUUUUUUCGAUUUUCAAUAUUCAAAGGUUAAUAGAUCAUGAUAUUCUCUUAUCUCAAAGGACUGCAACGAUGCUGUUGUAGUCUCGUAAAAACUACCCAAGGGAAAGAGAGCUAGCAAUCACCGAGAGCAUCGUUCGAAUCCCACUUGGGACUGGUAACAAUCAAGCAGCAAUUCCGUUGA